RNAcentral lists this ribosomal RNA (253 nucleotides) under uncultured bacterium. RNAcentral describes it as "partial 16S ribosomal RNA". It matches the Rfam family "Bacterial small subunit ribosomal RNA", at positions 524 to 776 of the family's 1533-position model. The record is from RNAcentral.
UACGAAGGGGGCUAGCGUUGCUCGGAAUCACUGGGCGUAAAGGGCGCGUAGGCGGCCAUUCAAGUCGGGGGUGAAAGCCCAGGGCUCAACCCUGGAAUUGCCUUCGAUACUGUUUGGCUAGAGACCGGAAGAGGUAAGUGGAACUGCGAGUGUAGAGGUGAAAUUCGUAGAUAUCAGGAGGAACACCUAUUGCGAAGGCAGCUCGCUGGGACGUAACUGACGCUGAGACGCGAAAGCGUGGGGAGCAAACAGG